GGAAUUUCUUUUAUCGAUCAUGGGUUUCUCUCUGGAUCUACAAAAAUGCAUUUGUUCUGUCUCCGAUGAAUCAAGGUAUUCGACUAUGUCCUCUCGGAUGUGUCUGGGUGAUGAUGAUGCGCUGCUUAACGAAGGUGUGGAAACGCCUUAUGGUUCGACCCGACUUAUGAGUUACAUAUCUUGACUAACAAUAGCUUCCUGUUCUUGUCUUAUCUGUGUUAAGGUCGGAGAAGCUGAAUUCUCCGUGGGUUCUCGUUUGUUGCCAUGUCUGUCCCUCGGAAAAUCCUGACAUUCUUCCAUUCAGUUGGGAAACCUGUUUUAUGCAUCUUCUUAUUUCUUUCUCUCUCUCUGCUCGUGCUCAUGCUUUGCAACAUUUCAUCUAC
This 383-nucleotide long non-coding RNA is filed under the name Musa acuminata (dwarf banana). RNAcentral describes it as "long non-coding RNA (MACU_LNC001665)". Lineage: Eukaryota; Viridiplantae; Streptophyta; Magnoliopsida; Zingiberales; Musaceae. The record is from RNAcentral.